RNAcentral lists this ribosomal RNA (255 nucleotides) under uncultured bacterium. RNAcentral describes it as "partial 16S ribosomal RNA". It matches the Rfam family "Bacterial small subunit ribosomal RNA", at positions 524 to 776 of the family's 1533-position model. The record is from RNAcentral.
UACGUAGGUGGCAAGCGUUGUCCGGAUUUAUUGGGGUUUAAAAGGGUGCGUAGGCGGCUUUGUAAGUCAGUGGUGAAAUACUCCAGCUUAACUGGAGGGGUGCCAUUGAUACUGCGGAGCUUGAGUACAGAUGAGGUAGGCGGAAUUGACGGUGUAGCGGUGAAAUGCGCAGAUAUCAGGAGGAACACCGGUGGCGAAGGCGGGUCUCUGGGCCGAUACUGACGCUGAGGAGCGAAAGCGUGGGGAGCGAACAGG